GUCCACGCCCUAAACGAUGUCUACUAGUUGUCGGGUCUUAAUUGACUUGGUAACGCAGCUAACGCGUGAAGUAGACCGCCUGGGGAGUACGGUCGCAAGAUUAAAACUCAAAGGAAUUGACGGGGACCCGCACAAGCGGUGGAUGAUGUGGAUUAAUUCGAUGCAACGCGAAAAACCUUACCUACCCUUGACAUGGCUGGAAUCCCUGAGAGAUCGGGGAGUGCUCGAAAGAGAACCAGUACACAGGUGCUGCAUGGCUGUCGU
Molecule: ribosomal RNA, 264 nt
Filed under: uncultured bacterium
Lineage: Bacteria
Description: partial 16S ribosomal RNA
Rfam family: Bacterial small subunit ribosomal RNA
Source: RNAcentral